This 139-nucleotide non-coding RNA is filed under the name uncultured Peptoniphilus sp. Lineage: Bacteria; Bacillati; Bacillota; Tissierellia; Tissierellales; Peptoniphilaceae. The record is from RNAcentral.
CAUAGGUUCUUCGGAUUAAAAGGGAAGUUGCUUGCGGCACGCGGUCCCGCCACUGUAACGGCCGAGACGCCCAUUCACUUAACGGGAAGGAUGGAACGUCGCCUGAGGUCAGAAGUCAGGAUACCUGCCUAUGGAAAAA